UACAGAGACCUCGAGCGUUAUCCGGAUUCACUGGGCGUAAAGCGUCCGCAGGUGGUCCGUUAAGUCAUUUGUCAAAUCCCGGUGCUCAACAUCGGAACCGCGAAUGAUACUGGCGGACUUGAGGAUGGAAGAGGCAAGAGGAACAGCCGGUGUAGUAGUAAAAUGCGUUAAUAUCGGCUGGAACACCAAAGGCGAAGGCAUCUUGCUGGGACAUUCCUGACACUCAUGGACGAAAGCGUGGGGAG
This 245-nucleotide ribosomal RNA is filed under the name uncultured bacterium. Its description in RNAcentral is "partial 16S ribosomal RNA". It matches the Rfam family "Bacterial small subunit ribosomal RNA", at positions 524 to 768 of the family's 1533-position model. The record is from RNAcentral.